Nicotiana tabacum (common tobacco) is the source of this 2191-nucleotide RNA transcript. It is a transcript of the gene named putative polyamine transporter At3g19553, with no coding region annotated. Lineage: Eukaryota; Viridiplantae; Streptophyta; Magnoliopsida; Solanales; Solanaceae. The record is from RefSeq and is a predicted model, not a curated record.
CGUUUUAGCCGCCACCGGAAAAGUGACGUCUCUCACAAAAUCAAAUAUGAGUGAUUUUAUUGUCCUAAAAUAAAUAAAAGUAACUUUAGUAGGUAAUUCACAAAUACUUGGAUGACCAUAAUAAUACUUAAGGAAUUAACUCUUUACAUAUGCUAUGUAGCACCCUAAUACUUUCCAUAGAAUUAGGAUCUGCAAUCUUGGGGUUGACUUUUUCUCUCCCUUGUUUUCUCCUUCCCAUCUUAUGUUAAUCAUUCUGAGGGAAUGGUGAAUGAUGUCAAGAACAGUACUUCAACUAACAAGAAAAAUCCAAAACUAACUUUAUUACCUCUUAUUGCUUUGAUUUUCUAUGAAGUAUCAGGGGGCCCUUUUGGUGUAGAAGAUUCAGUUAAAGCAGGGGGAGGCCCUUUGUUAGCUUUGCUUGGUUUCGUGAUUUUCGCUUUAAUUUGGAGCAUACCUGAAGCACUAAUCACAGCUGAGUUAGCCACAAGUUUCCCUGAAAAUGGUGGCUAUGUCAUUUGGAUAUCUUCAGCUUUUGGCCCUUUCUGGGGAUUUCAAGAAGGCUUUUGGAAAUGGUUUAGUGGUGUCAUGGAUAAUGCUCUUUACCCUGUAUUGUUCCUUGAUUACUUGAAGCAUUCGUUGCCCGUUUUUAAUCACUUGGUUGCGAGAAUUCCAGCCCUGUUAGGAAUUACUGUCUCUUUGACAUACUUGAAUUAUAGAGGCCUCCAUAUUGUUGGUUCUUCAGCUGUUUUGCUUGCAAGUUUUUCUCUUUUUCCGUUUGUUGUAAUGGCGAUUCUCUCGAUUCCUAGGAUCAGACCACGACAGUGGAUUGUUGUGGAUUUCAACAAGGUUGAAUGGAGAGGGUACUUUAAUACCAUGUUUUGGAAUCUUAAUUACUGGGAUAAGGUCAGUACUUUAGCAGGAGAGGUUGAAGACCCUAGUAGAACGUUUCGAAACGCGUUGCUCGCGGGUGUAGUUUUGGUGGUUUCUUUUUAUAUUAUUCCAUUACUGGCUGCAACAGGAGCUUUAAAGUCUGACCCUAGUGAGUGGAGUGAUGGUUAUUUUGCAGAAGCUGGAAUGUUGAUUGGUGGCGUUUGGCUGAAAUGGUGGAUCCAGGCUGCAGCUGCAAUGUCUAAUAUGGGGCUGUUUGAAGCUGAAAUGAGUAGUGAUGCCUUCCAACUUCUUGGGAUGAGCGAAAUGGGAAUGCUUCCUUCUAUAUUUGCGUCAAGAUCAAAAUAUGGGACACCCACUAUCAGCAUCUUAUGCUCUGCAACGGGCGUGAUCAUUCUGUCAUGGAUGAGUUUUCAAGAAAUAUUGGAAUUUCUUAACUUCCUCUAUUCAGUAGGAAUGCUUCUCGAGUUUGCAGCCUUCAUAAAAUUAAGGAUAGUGAAGCCUGAUCUUCGCAGACCUUAUAAGGUCCCAUUUCAAAUAUUUGGAGCAACGGCGAUUUGCCUUCCACCUGCUUUGUUGCUUAUUUUUGUCAUGUAUCUGGCUUCAUUACAGACGUAUAUAGUAAGUGGCUCGGUCAUUAUUCUGGGAUUAUUCUUGUAUCCUGCCAUAGUUCAUGCAAAGGAGAAAAACUGGUGCCAUUUUAUUAGUACAGAUGAACCAUUAGGUCAUUCUAACGAUAUUCUUGAGGACCAAUCAGCAGCUACUGAACUUGAUCAGGUUGUUGCUGAUGAGGCAUCUCUUAGCCUACUCGGACACUCUAAGAAAGUAGAGGAUUCUGAAACCUUGUCACAAGAAAUGUCAGCAUUGGAUUAGAAGAUACUUUCAUAUUUUUUGUACAUUUUAUACCACAAGGAACGACAGCCUUGGUGCAACAGUAAGAGUUGUCGUUGGGUGACAAGGAGGUCAGGGGAGAUAUACAAGAAAGAUACAAAGAAGAGGAGCAUGCAUAGUCGAUUCCAAAAAUGAGUAUGUGGAGUUUUAAGAGAUAUUCAGCGUUCGUCAAAUACAAUUCCAAGAGAAAAUUGACUGACCAUACAAAGUGUAGAUAACGUCGUAAUCUUUGGGCCCAUACUCAACAGAACACUGAAUGACUGCAAAUUGUGAUAUGCAUGGCGCAUAACUCAGACUAUCUCAGAAUUUAGCUGUAAGAGAAGAUUGACUAAUUCAACUUUCAUUGUUCAUUGAAGCAAAUGUCAUAUAUCAGUAUCACUGAAACUGUGAUUUCAAACAACAAAGGAACGGA